RNAcentral lists this ribosomal RNA (465 nucleotides) under Vreelandella stevensii. RNAcentral describes it as "partial 16S ribosomal RNA". It matches the Rfam family "Bacterial small subunit ribosomal RNA", at positions 338 to 795 of the family's 1533-position model. The record is from RNAcentral. Lineage: Bacteria; Pseudomonadati; Pseudomonadota; Gammaproteobacteria; Oceanospirillales; Halomonadaceae.
CCUACGGGGGGCUGCAGUGGGGAAUAUUGGACAAUGGGGGCAACCCUGAUCCAGCCAUGCCGCGUGUGUGAAGAAGGCCCUCGGGUUGUAAAGCACUUUCAGUGAGGAAGAACGCCUGGUGGUUAAUACCCAUCAGGAAAGACAUCACUCACAGAAGAAGCACCGGCUAACUCCGUGCCAGCAGCCGCGGUAAUACGGAGGGUGCGAGCGUUAAUCGGAAUUACUGGGCGUAAAGCGCGCGUAGGUGGCUUGAUAAGCCGGUUGUGAAAGCCCCGGGCUCAACCUGGGAACGGCAUCCGGAACUGUCAAGCUAGAGUGCAGGAGAGGAAGGUAGAAUUCCCGGUGUAGCGGUGAAAUGCGUAGAGAUGGGGAGGAAUACCAGUGGCGAAGGCGGCCUUCUGGACUGACACUGACACUGAGGUGCGAAAGCGUGGGUAGCAAACAGGAUUAGAUACCCUAGUAGUC